GCCCUGGUAGCUCAGUUGGUAGAGCGACUGACUGUUAAUCAGUAGGUCGUAGGUUCGAGUCCUGCCCAGGGCG
Molecule: transfer RNA, 73 nt
Filed under: Candidatus Micrarchaeota archaeon CG1_02_55_22
Lineage: Archaea; Nanobdellati; Microcaldota
Also listed under: 2 other names
Description: tRNA-Asn
Rfam family: tRNA
About the family: Transfer RNA (tRNA) molecules are approximately 80 nucleotides in length.
Source: RNAcentral